RNAcentral lists this non-coding RNA (46 nucleotides) under Xyrichtys novacula (pearly razorfish). It matches the Rfam family "Histone 3' UTR stem-loop". From Rfam's summary of the family: The mRNAs of metazoan histone genes lack a poly-A tail. The record is from RNAcentral. Lineage: Eukaryota; Metazoa; Chordata; Actinopteri; Labriformes; Labridae.
CCAAAGGCUCUUUUAAGAGCCACCCACAAUAAAUCAAAGAGUCAAU